This 253-nucleotide ribosomal RNA is filed under the name uncultured bacterium. RNAcentral describes it as "partial 16S ribosomal RNA". It matches the Rfam family "Bacterial small subunit ribosomal RNA", at positions 524 to 776 of the family's 1533-position model. The record is from RNAcentral.
GACAGAGGGUGCAAACGUUGUUCGGAAUUACUGGGCGUAAAGCGUGUGUAGGCGGUCCACUAAGUCGGGUGUGAAAGCCCUGGGCUCAACCCAGGAAGUGCACUCGAAACUGGCGGGCUAGAGUAUCGGAGAGGUUGGUGGAAUUCUCGGUGUAGAGGUGAAAUUCGUAGAUAUCGAGAGGAACACCGGUGGCGAAGGCGGCCAACUGGACGAAUACUGACGCUGGGACACGAAAGCGUGGGGAGCAAACAGG